AGUGAACGCUGGCGGUAGGCCUAACACAUGCAAGUCGAACGGCAGCACAGUAAGAGCUUGCUCUUACGGGUGGCGAGUGGCGGACGGGUGAGGAAUACAUCGGAAUCUACUUUUUCGUGGGGGAUAGCGUAGGGAAACUUACGCUAAUACCGCAUACGACCUACGGGUGAAAGCAGGGGAUCUUCGGACCUUGCGCGAUUGAAUGAGCCGAUGUCGGAUUAGCUAGUUGGCGGGGUAAAGGCCCACCAAGGCGACGAUCCGUAGCUGGUCUGAGAGGAUGAUCAGCCACACUGGAACUGAGACACGGUCCAGACUCCUACGGGAGGCAGCAGUGGGGAAUAUUGGACAAUGGGCGCAAGCCUGAUCCAGCCAUACCGCGUGAGUGAAGAAGGCCUUCGGGUUGUAAAGCCCUUUUGUUGGGAAAGAAAAGCAGCAGGUUAAUACCCCGCUGUUCUGACGGUACCCAAAGAAUAAGCACCGGCUAACUUCGUG
This 492-nucleotide ribosomal RNA is filed under the name uncultured bacterium. RNAcentral describes it as "partial 16S ribosomal RNA". It matches the Rfam family "Bacterial small subunit ribosomal RNA", at positions 29 to 507 of the family's 1533-position model. The record is from RNAcentral.